This 223-nucleotide long non-coding RNA is filed under the name Physcomitrium patens. RNAcentral's name for it is "long non-coding RNA (PPAT_LNC000190)". The record is from RNAcentral. Lineage: Eukaryota; Viridiplantae; Streptophyta; Bryopsida; Funariales; Funariaceae.
GGGUUUUAGUAGCAAAGAGAGUUUAGGACAUCCAUAUAGAUGAAUGGAGAUGGAUGAUAAAAAUCUCCAUUCCUAUUGAUCAAAAAUCAUGACCAAUAGGCUUUGAGGAGGCUGCCCGAGGCCAUAUUAGAGAUUAGGUUUAGUUUUUUGAGGCCAUUUGAGCUUUGAAGGCUAGAAUCAGAAAGUUUAGGUUUUUGGCUAUGGUUUUGGUACAAAGCUUGUA